Molecule: ribosomal RNA, 396 nt
Filed under: uncultured bacterium
Lineage: Bacteria
Description: bacterial SSU rRNA
Rfam family: Bacterial small subunit ribosomal RNA
Source: RNAcentral
GGGGAAUCUUGCACAAUGGGGGAAACCCUGAUGCAGCGACGCCGCGUGAACGAUGAAGCCCUUCGGGGUGUAAAGUUCUUUCGACAGGAACGAUAAUGACGGCACCUGGAGAAGAAGCUGCGGCUAACUACGUGCCAGCAGCCGCGGUAAUACGUAGGCAGCGAGCGUUGUUCGGAGUUACUGGGCGUAAAGAGUGCGUAGGCGGCGAGCCAAGUUUGGUGUGAAAUCUCCCGGCUUAACCGGGAGGGUGCGCCGAAAACUGGUUGGCUGGAGUAUGGGAGAGGAAAGCGAAAUUCCGGGUGUCGCGGUGAAAUGCGUAGAUAUCAGGAGGAACACCUGCGGUGUAGACAGCUUUCUGGACCAAAACGGACGCUGAGGCACGAAAGCGUGGGUAGC